Non-coding RNA from Lonchura striata (white-rumped munia), 677 nucleotides. The record is from RefSeq and is a predicted model, not a curated record. NCBI's taxonomy places the organism in Eukaryota, Metazoa, Chordata, Aves, Passeriformes, Estrildidae.
AGCAGAAGGUAAUUUUAUCCUCAGCACUUAGUACAGCUACGACACAUCUCACAAAAGAAAUCCAGCAUCGGCUCUGAUCAUCCUUAAACUAUCAGGAUCUGAGUCAUAUCCCAGUCUGGAAGGAGGAGUGGGUUAUGUUCAAAAAUAGGACUGAAGGACGCACAUCAGGAGACAAUCAUUUCACUGGAAGGAGAAGAACAGCUUGUCUGACUUAAGCCAUCACUGCAGUGAUUUGGAGUGGUAAAUGCAGGAACAUUCCGGGGAUAUAGCUGUGAGAUUAAAUUUUUGCCAGAAACACAGGCACAGAGUCACUGGAAAUGCAAGGAGGAGCAGCACAGAUGCCAUCAGGAGCUGUGCAGGUGUUUGCAUGGGAGCAUGUGUGUACACUUCACUUCCUAACAUGAAUCUUCAAAAAGACCAUGUUUUGUCCUGCUUCUGCCUCACAGAGGAAGAUGACCAAAAAUCUGAACGACACCAGAAAGUCUGCAUUAUGUUUGAUCCUUUUAACUACUGGGAUGCUGAACAAAUAGCACACAUCCAAGAAACAUACUGUGGGUAGGUCUUUCCCCUCUGAAAAAUUGUAUGACGUGAAAAUAUUUCUGUUUUUCUAUAGGAAGAGAUUUUUAUUUAUUUAUUUAUUUAGCCUAGGAAAUGAUGCUUUGUUCCUUUGUUGCAGC